GACGUAGGGGGCAAGCGUUGUCCGGAAUUACUGGGCGUAAAGGGCGUGUAGGCGGCGCCGUACGUAGCGGUUUUAAGCCUCCGGCUCACCCGGAGGAGGGCGGCUAAACGGCGGGGCUGGAGGGCAGGAGAGGUGCACGGAAUUCCUGGUGGAGCGGUGAAAUGCGUAGAGAUCAGGAAGAACACCCGUGGCGAAGGCGGUGCACUGGCCUGGCCCUGACGCUGAGGCGCGACAGCGUGGGGAGCAAACGGG
This 252-nucleotide ribosomal RNA is filed under the name uncultured Sulfobacillus sp. RNAcentral describes it as "partial 16S ribosomal RNA". It matches the Rfam family "Bacterial small subunit ribosomal RNA", at positions 524 to 776 of the family's 1533-position model. Lineage: Bacteria; Bacillati; Bacillota; Clostridia; Eubacteriales; Clostridiales Family XVII. Incertae Sedis. The record is from RNAcentral.